This 254-nucleotide ribosomal RNA is filed under the name uncultured bacterium. RNAcentral describes it as "partial 16S ribosomal RNA". It matches the Rfam family "Bacterial small subunit ribosomal RNA", at positions 524 to 776 of the family's 1533-position model. The record is from RNAcentral.
UACGUAGGGUGCGAGCGUUGUCCGGAUUUAUUGGGCGUAAAGAGCUCGUAGGCGGUUUGUCGCGUCGGCCGUGAAAUCUCCACGCUUAACGUGGAGCGUGCGGUCGAUACGGGCAGACUUGAGUUCGGUAGGGGAGACUGGAAUUCCUGGUGUAGCGGUGAAAUGCGCAGAUAUCAGGAGGAACACCGGUGGCGAAGGCGGGUCUCUGGGCCGGAUACUGACGCUGAGGAGCGAAAGCGUGGGGAGCGAACAGG